Molecule: ribosomal RNA, 433 nt
Filed under: uncultured bacterium
Lineage: Bacteria
Description: partial 16S ribosomal RNA
Rfam family: Bacterial small subunit ribosomal RNA
Source: RNAcentral
AACGAACGCUGGCGGCAGGCCUAACACAUGCAAGUCGAGCGAGGACUUCGGUCCUAGCGGCGGACGGGUGAGUAACGCGUGGGAACGUGCCCUUUGCUUCGGAAUAGCCCUGGGAAACUGGGAGUAAUACCGGAUGAGCCCUUUGGGGGAAAGAUUUAUCGGCGAAGGAUCGGCCCGCGUUGGAUUAGGUAGUUGGUGGGGUAAUGGCCUACCAAGCCGACGAUCCAUAGCUGGUUUCAGAGGAUGAUCAGCCACACUGGGACUGAGACACGGCCCAGACUCCUACGGGAGGCAGCAGUGGGGAAUCUUAGACAAUGGGGGAAACCCUGAUCUAGCCAUGCCGCGUGAGCGAUGAAGGCCUUAGGGUUGUAAAGCUCUUUCAGCUGGGAAGAUAAUGACGGUACCAGCAGAAGAAGCCCCGGCUAACUCCGUG